AUACGUAGGGGGCGAGCGUUGUCCGGAAUGAUUGGGCGUAAAGGGCGCGUAGGCGGCCCGGUAAGUCUGGAGUGAAAGUCCUGUUUUUAAGAUGGGAAUUGCUUUGGAUACUGUCGGGCUUGAGCGCAGGAGAGGUAAGUGGAAUUCCCAGUGUAGCGGUGAAAUGCGUAGAGAUUGGGAGGAACACCAGUGGCGAAGGCGACUUACUGGACUGUAACUGACGCUGAGGCGCGAAAGUGUGGGGAGCAAACAGGAUUAGAUACCCUGGUAGUCCACACUGUAAACGAUGAAUGCUAGGUGUAGGGGGUAUCGACCCCUUCUGUGCCGCAGUCAACACAAUAAGCAUUCCGCCUGGGGAGUACGGCCGCAAGGUUGAAACUCAAAGGAAUUGACGGGG
Molecule: ribosomal RNA, 397 nt
Filed under: uncultured bacterium
Lineage: Bacteria
Description: partial 16S ribosomal RNA
Rfam family: Bacterial small subunit ribosomal RNA
Source: RNAcentral